RNAcentral lists this ribosomal RNA (440 nucleotides) under uncultured bacterium. RNAcentral's name for it is "partial 16S ribosomal RNA". It matches the Rfam family "Bacterial small subunit ribosomal RNA", at positions 338 to 795 of the family's 1533-position model. The record is from RNAcentral.
CCUACGGGUGGCUGCAGUCGGGAAUUUUGGGCAAUGGGGGAAACCCUGACCCAGCAACGCCGCGUGAAGGAUGAAGUCUUUCGGUAUGUAAACUUCGAAAGAAUAGGAAGAAUUAAUGACGGUACUAUUUAUAAGGUCCGGCUAACUACGUGCCAGCAGCCGCGGUAAUACGUAGGGACCAAGCGUUGUUCGGAUUUACUGGGCGUAAAGGGCGCGUAGGCGGCAUGGCAAGUCACUUGUGAAAUCUCCGAGCUUAACUCGGAACGGCCAAGUGAUACUGCCGCGCUAGAGUGCGGAAGGGGCAAUCGGAAUUCGUGGUGUAGCGGUGAAAUGCUUAGAUAUCAAGAGGAACACCUGAGGUGAAGACGGGUUGCUGGGCCGACACUGACGCUGAGGCGCGAAAGCCAGGGGAGCAAACGGGAUUAGAUACCCCGGUAGUC